This 2560-nucleotide long non-coding RNA is filed under the name Equus caballus (horse). RNAcentral describes it as "lncRNA (ENSECAG00000060041.1)". The record is from RNAcentral. Lineage: Eukaryota; Metazoa; Chordata; Mammalia; Perissodactyla; Equidae.
GGCAGCCCUUCGGGUGGGAGCGCAGAAUAACACACAUCGACCCUCGACGGCUCAGAGUAAACCGCUGGGAGUCCUGACGUCGGGGAGGCUGCACAGAUGGGUCUCAGCCCCCAAGCUUACAAAUCCUCCGCCCGAGCUCAGAGGGGCCCCUGCCUGCCGCUCCCCUCAGAGGACGGCGCCCCUGAAGUCAGGAGUCCUCCGACCAGGUGCUUGCGGGAGGCUGCUCCUCCAAGCAGAGGAAAGCGAAGGACACCGCCAUUGAAAUGGUUGCCUGACGUCCGGUGUGACCCGAUGGAUUAAUCCGCAGCAUCCCAGAAGCUCACACCGGCCCAGAAGGACACCUUCCGCACCGGCCUCUGCCCUGCCUUCUCAGAGCCUCAUUCGUCUUUCAACACCUCACCCCAGACCCUGGGGCCCAUCCCCCAGCCCGCAGCCUGUGCGUGUUUCCAUAGCAACCUGCCCCUGCUGCUGUGGUGACAUCCCAGCGAUGUGAGCUCUUUGAAGGCCGCCCGACCUGGAUCGCUCCGCAGAGUGGGGAGGAGGGGUGCCCGAUGACACUGAGCACAGCCUCCCUUGGGGGCAGGCGGUGAGUGCAGGCUGUGCCUGCUAUCAGCUGCUGUGCCUCGAGCCCUUGACCUCGUUCGAGGACGUCUCGAAGAUGGGGAAACUGAGGCCCAGAGAGAGGGAACCUCCCUUUUCAGUUACAGUAAGAGAAGAGGUCAUGCUGACUGGUGACAACCAGCCCCCCGUCUGGGACACCCCAGAGGAGAAGAGUCGCCACUGAGAAGCGUCCCCUCUGGGUGUGUCCCUGGGGGAUGAAGGCCAGCUGCCCUCCCUCCGGUGGAGCACCAGAGGGCGCUUCCCUCCCCCUUCUCACCCAGAGCCCCCUGGUCUCAAGGCCAGAGCAGCAAAGCCGUCGGUACCCCAGCGCGCGCCUGGGGAAUAUCUAGGGCAUCGCAGAGAGGCUGAGCGCGGAGGAGCAAAUGUCAGCAAAGGGUCAGGCGGGGGCCUGGGAGUCACAGCUCCGGGGUCCUGGAUGGAACGCCUCCCAAGCAGAGGAGAGGGUAGAGGGGGCUCCACGGGAGGAGGGCUGACCUGGAAAGCUCCCCCAUGGGGGAGGCCGGCUCUCCACUGAGACCCCAGGAUGCCCUGUGUCCUCUCCUCCCUCAGCUGCUGACUUGGCUCAGACUGCACGCCACUGAAGCAGAAGUCAGUUUCAAGUUGAGGAGGAAGAUGGAUUUUCCCAGAGGCUCUUGGCCUCCUCCCUGGAAAGAGGCAGCUGCGGAUGCGGGUAACUCCUGAGGAGCCCCGAGGUUCCACCCCCUGGCUGCUGGCGGGAGAUGCUGACCGGGCCAUCCCAAGACCCGCCAGCUCCAAGCCCCACGGAGCCAGGAGAGCUGGCGGCCCCACAGCACCAGGUGCCAGGAAUCACUGGGGUGACUCCAGGCCUGGAGCCCAGGGGCAGUUUGGUGCUGUGGUCACCACAGGACAGUGGACGCACUGAUGGGUUGCGGAUCCUGACUCCUCCAUUUGACCUGUAAAAUGGGGUUCCAGCACCCCCAGUUCUUCACGGCUGCCCAGGUCCGUGCCCUUGUCCUGGGGAGCUUAUGUUGGACAGAGUCGGUGUGCCUUUGGAAGGAAAGAUGAAUAAACCAGAGACUAGGGACCCUCCUGGUCUUAUCAGGACAGUAGGGCUGCCCUCCUGAGACUAGGGCUCCCGCCGGGCCUGAGCUCAGGCCCACCUUCCGGCCCCAAGCGGCAUCACAGCAAGGGGGGUGGGUGGGACCAGGAAACCCCCUUCUGCCCACUCUGCUCCCAGGAAAGGCAAUCCCCACCCUGAGGGGCUCCAGGAGCCCAGAGACCCUGUGUCCUGAGCCCCAGCUCCACCCUGUGUGGGCAGGCGCACUUGUUCACUGUGGCUGGACCCCUGUCCCUGUCACUGCAUGGAGGUGUCACCCAGGCCUGGCCCCUCCCAAAGGGACAGUCCACUCUGCCCUUGACCCAGCCCCCUCCCUUCAAGUGAGGGUCCUGUGGCCAAAGGCACCCCUUCUCCCCGGCCCCAGCUGCCCAGGAUGGCCAGGCGCCCUCCCUCCCAGCCCCAGCGAGGGGUGGGUGACAGGAAGGACUUACAGCUGAUGCCCUUCUUGCCGUGACACACCUCCGGUUUCCACAUCACUGGCCCGUCAGUACCGGCAGGACUAUCUGACAAACAGAGGCCUCUCUCCACCGAAUUUUUUAAAAGGCAUAUAAAAUAUUUACCUGAUCAUUUUUGCUACCUGAAGAAAAUAAUUUGCUUUCCGUCCUCAGGAGCCACGACCCCCUCAGCUCUGGGAAGUGAUGGCCAGCCCCCCGCAAUUCCCUGAUGGCACACAGGGUGGGGUCUGACCACAGACCAUGGGAACUUUAUUUUCCAAGAUGUCAGCCUGGCUGGGGCCCCUGCCUGGGUGCCCACCCACGUGGGUGGGUUUUCACUGCCUGGUCUGCCUCAUGCUUUUUACUGUGUUUUACUUCCUUAUUGGUGAAAUGAUUAAAGAUUUGUUUGAUGUUUUUAAAGUAAAAC